UCCACGUGAUCCCCUUUUUCACAUUAAAAAAAAACUUUCACCAAAUGAAAGUGAAAAACCAAUUGUACUAAAAUACGCCAAAAGACGGUGCGCAAAACGCACAUGGGUGCAGGUUCUGUCAUGGGUCUAGGUCGGGAAAUUUGAUUACUUACUAUAAUUAAAGUUUUAAUCACAAGAUUAUAAUUAUGAACUAUUAUAAUUAUUUCAACAAAUUAUCAAUUUUCUCUGCUAUUCUAUAUUUUCCCCUUGCCUUCUCUUUUCUUCGUAUCUCAGUGCUUUCAAAUUUAUCAUUCUUACUUUUCACAGGAAUAUCUAAGCUUUCCUAAGUCCAUCCAUGGCGUCGCCAGUAAUUUUAUUUAUCUAACUGAUUUCAUUAUUUUCUGAAUCUCCACGUUUAAUAUAUUUAUAUAUUUUCUAAAGUCUCUUUUUCAUAAGUUGGAACCUUCUUUAAUUUUCCUACUUUCAAUUCUGACCCAAGUUGAUCUUCUUUUUAAAAAUAUAUAAAUAAAUAAUCCUUUAAAAGAAAAAAAAAUGAAGAUAACAAUUGUAUCCAUUUUAUACCCAAUAGCCGUUGUCCUAAGCUUUAUAAUAAAGUAAAAUCUUUUACUUUAUUCCAGGGAAUAAAAUUCAGAAUGUUUGCAUUGAAGAAAGAUCUCACCUUUUAUAUCACACUAUUAAUUAAUUCAUCCCUUUUAGAAAGUUAGUUGUUAAUGGAAAUUAGCUCAAUGGAUUCAAAGAGAAAGAAGGAAUCGGCGGAGUCAAAACACUUCCCUGGUGAGGUUUUGGAGGGAGUUUUGGGUCUGAUAAAGUCCCGCAAGGACAGGAGCUCACUUUCUCUGGUCUGCAAGGACUGGUACAAUGCCGAGAGAUGGUCUCGGACCUGCGUCUUCAUCGGAAACUGCUACUCAGUGUCGCCAGAAAUCUUGGCGCGACGAUUUCCAAACAUUCGGAGCGUAACCCUGAAAGGGAAGCCUCGAUUCUCGGACUUCAAUUUGGUUCCUCGCAAUUGGGGAGCAGAUGUUCAAUCAUGGCUGUCGGUUUUCGCCGUCAAGUACCCGAAUCUUGAGGAGCUGAGGCUUAAGAGAAUGAGUGUUAGGGACGAGAGCUUGGAGUUUCUGGCUCAUUCAUUCCCUAAUUUCAAAGCUCUUUCACUUUUGAGCUGUGAUGGCUUCAGUACUGAUGGCCUUGCCGCCAUUGCCACUCAUUGCAAAAACUUGGUUGAGCUGGACAUACAGGACAAUGAUGUGGACGACAGAAGUGGCAGUUGGUUGAGUUGCUUCCCUGAGUCCUUCACAUCAUUGGAAACACUAAACUUCGCCAACCUAAAUUCUGAUGUCUGUUUUGAUGCUCUUGAGAGACUUGUCAUUAGGUGCAAAUCGCUCAAGACUUUGAAGGUUAAUAAAAAUAUAAACUUGGAACAAUUACAAAAGCUUAUUAGCCAUGCUCCAAGAUUAAUGGAGCUUGGUACUGGUAUGUUCAUUCAAGACCUCACUGCCAAUCAGCAUUCAGAGCUUGAAAGUGCCUUUAACAAUUGCAAGAAUCUACAUACACUCUCUGGCCUAUGGGAAACUAAAGCCUUAUUUCUCCCGGCUCUGUAUCCUGCUUGUACGAACGUAACUUUUCUAAAUUUUAGUUAUGCUGUUGUUCGAAGCCCCGAGUUUGCAAGUCUUCUGUCUCACUGCCCAAAUCUUCGUCGCCUUUGGGUUCUUGACACGGUGGAAGACAAGGGACUUGAGGCUAUCGGAACUCACUGUCCCUUGCUUGAAGAACUUCGUGUUUUUCCUGAUAACCCCUUUGACCCGGAGGUUAUCCAUGGGGUGACUGAAUCUGGAUUUCUGGCAGUAUCAUUUGGCUGCCCCAAACUCCAUUAUGUACUCUACUUUUGCAGGCAGAUGACAAAUGCUGCAGUGGCAUCCAUUGUAAAGAACUGUCCUGGGUUCACUCACUUUCGUCUAUGCAUAAUGGAGCCUGGAAAGCCAGAUUACUUGACAAACGAGCCUAUGGAUGAAGCUUUUGGUGCAGUGGUGAAGACUUGCACUAAGCUCCAGAGACUUGCCGUUUCAGGUUUAUUGACUGACUUAACGUUUGAGUAUAUUGGGAAGUAUGCCAAAAAUCUGGAAACCCUUUCAGUGGCAUUUGCUGGUAGCAGUGAUUGGGGAAUGCGGUGUGUGCUGAGUGGCUGUUCAAAGUUGAGGAAACUUGAGAUUAGAGAUUCCCCAUUUGGGAAUGAAGCUCUUCUUUCGGGUAUAGAGAAGUAUGAGUCCAUGAGGUCACUUUGGAUGUCCGCUUGCAAGGUCACAAAGAGUGGCUGUCAACUCUUGGCCAGAGAGAUGCCUAGGCUGAAUGUUGAAGUGAUCAACGAUGAAGGGAGUGGGGACAUGGUUGCUAAUAAAAUUUAUGUUUACCGCUCUGUUGCUGGGCCUAGAAAGGAUGCUCCGCCUUUUGUUCUUACUCUCUGAAGUUUCAGAAAACGUAAUAGUAAUCUCUCUCUCUCUCACACACACGCCCAUGCACACAAGUUCCUCGGGAUAUUUCCAUGAUAAAUGGAAUUGGAAUUAGAAAAUGAUCUUGCGUUUGCUGUGCUUCUGGAAGUGAAUGGUUUUCGUUCACUAAGGCCAAAAAAAAAAAAAAAAAAAAAGGAAUCCUUAGUUAGAAUGGGAUUCCAACUCAGCCCAUUCUUUCUCAUUGUGCUAGUAGAUUUUUAGCAUCAGUGGAUGACUGAACAUCUAGUACCAUAUAAUAUCACAUGCAUUCCAGUUCUAUCUCAAAUUACUACAAUUUGACGUUUUCUUUAGCAUGGUCUUGAUCUAUCUUGGCCUUGAAAUUUUGUACCCUCAAUUAGAUGCACUUAUCAAUGAUUCGUGGAGGGUUUGUGCAACUUUAUAACACUCCUCACUCCAAUUAGUGAUAUAUGAGAAAUGUUUCCACAUAUAGAGAUGGGAAUUCACUCCCUCAUGCUACUGAAUGUCAAUAUGAUGAAGGUGAAAAAGAAGAGCAAUCAGAAUCACUACUUGGAUAUUGUUUGUUUUAAAAUGACAAACCUGAAAGUAAUAAUAGGUAUAUAAUGAGAUACAAACAGAGUAUAUUUCUGCACAGCCUCCUCCAUCUCAGGGAUCAAGUUCUCUUCAGCGUUUGAACUAUUGCCACCCUGAUUAGUAAGAAGGUGAGGAUGCCAUGGCAGAAAUAGAUAAAAUGAAGAGCUUCUUGCUGCAUGGCUUGUACCAACGAUGGCUUUGCCUUCUAACAUGGCUAAGGGAAAAAGGAGAGUUGAGAAGCAAAAGUCAGCUGGGAAACUAAAAAGUGAGAGUUUUUGCUCUUUGAAGUCCACUGCUUUGCUGGUGAUCAUUGCAUCCAUGUAAAGUAAACCGCUAUGGCCCUAUAGAGAUUGGCUUGUUCUGUGUUUGUAUAUGAUUAUCUCUAAUAAACCACCAAGGAGAAAGAGAAUUGAUAAAUAAGGGGUCCACUUUAUCUUGUGAAUGUGGGAUUUAUGUGGCUUGUAUAAAGUUAGAACUCUGUUUCA
This is an RNA transcript of Cannabis sativa, 3520 nucleotides long. It is a transcript of the gene named protein TRANSPORT INHIBITOR RESPONSE 1, with no coding region annotated. Lineage: Eukaryota; Viridiplantae; Streptophyta; Magnoliopsida; Rosales; Cannabaceae. The transcript has 4 exons. The record is from RefSeq and is a predicted model, not a curated record.